UACGUAGGGGGCAAGCGUUGUCCGGAAUCAUUGGGCGUAAAGCGCGUGUAGGCGGCCCAGUAAGUCCGCUCUGAAAGCCCGGGGCUCAACCCCGGGAGGCGGGUGGAUACUGCUGGGCUCGAGUCCGGAAGAGGCGAGUGGAAUUCCUGGUGUAGCGGUGAAAUGCGCAGAUAUCAGGAGGAACACCAAUGGCGAAGGCAGCUCGCUGGGACGUGACUGACGCUGAGACGCGAAAGCGUGGGGAGCAAACAGG
This 253-nucleotide ribosomal RNA is filed under the name uncultured bacterium. Its description in RNAcentral is "partial 16S ribosomal RNA". It matches the Rfam family "Bacterial small subunit ribosomal RNA", at positions 524 to 776 of the family's 1533-position model. The record is from RNAcentral.